CAGGAACCCUAUUUCUUGGUCCUCUGUGCAGCUGGGAUGUUCAUUGUAUGUCAGCAGGGGGAGUUCAGCCUCGUUAACAACCUGUUCCAAGUUCACUGCCAUCCCCACAGCGUACUGACACCACUGAUAACAGGCAUGACCGUGAGGAAAAAGCAAGGUCAGAGGAGAUGGCAUUACUGGGCUUGGGAUUUCUUGACAACCUGCUGCUCCAGGCAAAACACUGGUUUGGUCCAGGCACUUCAUCUGAGAGUCAGGAGAUUUACGUAGAUUUUCACUGGUCCCCAGAAUGGCAGAAGAGAAGAAAAAGAAAGAACCAUGAUGCAAAAGCAUCUUGAGGAAAAUAUUUAUUGUGCAAGGACCAGAGAGCAGUACUUACAAGAAAGGUCACUGGAAAAUCAAGCAGAGAAACCGGCCACUCAAAAUCACAAACAUCUCCAUCUUAAUCUUUCUAGCUGUUUCCUAUUUAUAGAUGAUUUAUUUCAUCUAGGCAGCUUGUUAUAAAAAUGCAGUUAUUAACUCUGAAAAAC
Molecule: long non-coding RNA, 527 nt
Filed under: Numida meleagris (helmeted guineafowl)
Lineage: Eukaryota; Metazoa; Chordata; Aves; Galliformes; Numididae
Description: lncRNA (ENSNMEG00000000657.1)
Source: RNAcentral